GAUGAACGCUGGCGGCGUGCCUAACACAUGCAAGUCGAACGGAGUCGUUUUGGAAAUCUCUUCGGAGAUGGAAUUCUCGACUUAGUGGCGGACGGGUGAGUAACGCGUGAGCAAUCUGCCUUUAAGAGGGGGAUAACAGUCGGAAACGGCUGCUAAUACCGCAUAAAGCAUUAAAUUCGCAUGUUUUUGAUGCCAAAGGAGCAAUCCGCUUUUAGAUGAGCUCGCGUCUGAUUAGCUAGUUGGCGGGGUAACGGCCCACCAAGGCGACGAUCAGUAGCCGGACUGAGAGGUAGAACGGCCACAUUGGGACUGAGACACGGCGCAGACUCCUACGGGAGGCAGCAGUGGGGAAUAUUGCGCAAUGGGGGAAACCCUGACGCAGCAACGCCGCGUGAUUGAAGAAGGCCUUCGGGUUGUAAAGAUCUUUAAUCAGGGACGAAACAAAUGACGGUACCUGAAGAAUAAGCUCCGGCUAACUACGUG
This 483-nucleotide ribosomal RNA is filed under the name uncultured bacterium. RNAcentral's name for it is "partial 16S ribosomal RNA". It matches the Rfam family "Bacterial small subunit ribosomal RNA", at positions 28 to 507 of the family's 1533-position model. The record is from RNAcentral.